Molecule: ribosomal RNA, 655 nt
Filed under: uncultured bacterium
Lineage: Bacteria
Description: bacterial SSU rRNA
Rfam family: Bacterial small subunit ribosomal RNA
Source: RNAcentral
GAAGGCUUUGGGUUGUAAAGCUCUUUUGUAGGGGAAGAUAUGACUGUCCCUAAGAAUAAGGUCCGGCUAACUUCGUGCCAGCAGCCGCGGUAAUACGAAGGGACCUAGCGUAGUUCGGAAUUACUGGGCGUAAAGCGCGCGUAGGCCGUUGAGUUAGUUAAUUGUGAAAUCCCAAAGCUUAACUUUGGAACUGCAAUUAAAACUGCUCGACUAGAGUUUGAUAGAGGAAAGCGGAAUACAUAGUGUAGAGGUGAAAUUCGUAGAUAUUAUGUAGAACACCAGUUGCGAAGGCGGCUUUCUGGGUCAACACUGACGCUGAGGCGCGAAAGUAUGGGUAGCAAAGAGGAUUAGAUACCUCGUAGUCCAUACCAUAAACGAUGAUUUGCUAAGAUGUUGGAAAUUUAUUUUCAGUAUCGCAGCUAACGCAUUAAGCAAUCCGCCUGGGGAGUACGACCGCAAGGUUAAAACUCAAAUGAAUUGACGGGGACCCGGACAAGCGGUGGAGCAUGUGGUUUAAUUCGAAGAUACGCGCAGAGCCUUUACCCAAGCCCCUUUGGGGACCCUGGUCCUUGGUCCGGCGGAAGUUUUAAAGGGAAAAACCUUAAGAACCUCUUUACCGGGUUCCGGGCCCGGAACCGGAAACAACAAGGGUUGC